Molecule: small nucleolar RNA, 37 nt
Filed under: Helobdella robusta
Lineage: Eukaryota; Metazoa; Annelida; Clitellata; Rhynchobdellida; Glossiphoniidae
Description: Small nucleolar RNA U3
Rfam family: Small nucleolar RNA U3
About the family: Small nucleolar RNAs (snoRNAs) are involved in the processing and modification of rRNA in the nucleolus. There are two main classes of snoRNAs: the box C/D class, and the box H/ACA class.
Source: Rfam by way of RNAcentral
GAUCAUACUUUUAGGGAUCAUUUCUAUAGUAUGCAUC